Molecule: long non-coding RNA, 5859 nt
Filed under: Ananas comosus (pineapple)
Lineage: Eukaryota; Viridiplantae; Streptophyta; Magnoliopsida; Poales; Bromeliaceae
Description: long non-coding RNA (ACOM_LNC012357)
Source: RNAcentral
UAAGUUUAAUAAAAUAUAGUGUAAACUACUAUUCCUACGCUUUCGCACUUUUUCACUUUUCUACACUAAAAUUUAAAAUAUAUCAAAUUAGUACACUGAAAUUUUAUUUUUCUUUUUUCGUCAGCUCUUUCGUUAAUAUUACAUUAAAUUAUAUACAAAAAGACUCGGAUACCCGACAUGGGUUUAUUGAAUAUUUAUUUUAGUACCCUUUAGUUUUAAUUUUAUCACUGAUUUGACGAAAAAAAAUUAAUGAAAUAGAUAAUAAAAAUAAAAUAAAAUCAUAAGGUAUUAAAUUUAUGCACUUUAAACCACUAAUACGAAAAUGAGAACGUGCGAAAUUACAAAAAUAAUAUUUAAAUUUUUUUUAUAAAAUAUAAAAUAAAAUAAAAUAAACUUUAAACCACUAAUACGAAAAUGAGAACGUGCGAAAUUACAAAAAUAAUAUUUAAAUUUUUUUUAUAAAAUAUAAAAUAAAAUAAAAUAAAAUAAAAUAAAAAGUACCAGGAUUUGAGAGAAAAAGAACUUGUCUAUCGUGCAAAUUAAUUGUUUUGUCCCAAAAGAUGUCAGUGUUGCUUGUAAAAGGUGGGGCCUCUCUAGCAUGGCCCAAGUGACCUAUCUUUACUAACUCGACAUUCUAAUCUAAUGCAGAAUCUGCGCAAACGGAUAUUAAAAUUUUAAAAUAAUAAAAUUUAGUUGGUUACCCUAUACUCUUGUACACUUUGAUUUGGCCAAUUAUUUAUUCAAUUAUGUUGGAAAUAAUAAUUCAAACUUAAUUAAAAUAUAAUUAGAGAUAAAUUUAAAUUUUUUAUUUGAUUAUGAUUGGAAUUUGUAAUUAUCCAAAGUAAAAUUGAAUUUAUCAUCUGUUAUGAUUUUAUCGCUAUAUAUAUUUAGGCAUGGAUUAAUUAGAUGAAUAAGCCAUAAUAGACAUGGCCGAGGGUGUCGUCACGGAUGUAAUUAUUUGCUUUCUAUUAGUAAAGUAUUAGUUUAGUUAUCUUCUUCAUCUUCCAAUAUCUCUUCUUUAUAUUAUUUUGUUCUAUUUUAGAUUUUGGAUUAUAUAAUCGGUAUCAGCAUAAAUACCGGUUCCAACAAUUGGUAUUAGAGAAAAUCACGCUUCCCAAUAAUUGGUAUCAGAGCCAAAGAGAGCCGAAAAGUAUAAUCCGACUUAUAAACCAGAUGACAGCAUAUUUGAAAAGAAUAUAGAUUCAAUGUACCGGAUAGCUACGUCAAAGUCAAGCGACUCAUAACUGAUCAACGAAAGUGACGUUCAGGUGAAACCAAAGCGAAAGAAUCGCUUUGAAGAAACUGGCCUCCGCACAACACACGACAGCAGGUGAUUAUGAUGCUUGACGAAAAGAAAGCGAGGAGAGCCUGUGAAGAGAUCCAAGAAGACUUGACCAGAUAGCCAAGAAGGCUAAGCAAGCAAGCCGAAAUACAGAAAAUUCGGCGAGAUAAGCAAGCAAGCCGAAAUACAUAAAAUUCGGCGAGAUCUCGAUAAACUAAGGACGUCAUCCAAAUCGAAAGGUACAAAUUUGAAACUUGUUUUUCAGGUUAUCAAGUUUUUGUUAUGGAUUUAGAUAAUUGGUUUAUUCAACCUAGUUUACCAAAGUUCAAUGUAACGAAUUUUAAACGAUAGAAAAUUAUUAUUCGAUGUUUUUUAGAAUAUCAAGAUUUGUGGGAUGUAGUAGAGAAUAGAAAUUAUGAAAAAGAAUUUGAUAAAGAAGAAUUUAGAAAAAGACAUAGAGAAGUUCUAUCAUAUAUUUUUCAAGCAAUGGAUCUAUCGUUAGUUGGAAAAAUUUCAACGAUAAAGACGACACGAGAAGUGUGCAGAAUGCUAUUGAAAAUUGGAGGAGAAGAUUUGCAGGAAGAGAAUGAAAUUCAAGAAGAAGAAAAAAUUCAACCCAAUAGUGAAGAUACUGAAGCCCCAAUUUGCAAAGAAUUUUGGAAAGAAAAGUCUGAUCAAAAUCAUGAAGAAGAAUAUAUUUGUGAAGAGUAUGUUAAUGAUGAAAAUGGUGCAAUUCAGAUCGACGAAAAAGUUCACAAUGACGAUAUGAUUAAAGAAAUUUCUGUUGAUGAAGAAAUUAUGCAGCAAAGUAGGGAGAAAGUUUACUAUUAUUUUGAUGUGUUCGAAGAUGAAAAUGCACAAAUCAAGAUCAAUGCAUUGAACAAACAUUCGCGUCGAUCAAACUCUCCUCGGUUACCACAAAAUUACAAAAUUCAUAUCAAUCCAAUUAUUUCAAAAUUAUAUGUUUUUUAAGAUAUUUGCAGGAAUCAGCAGAUCUUUAAGGAUGAUGUGAAUAAUCAAGGCUACAGAUGACAAAGAUUUCAACCAUGGCAACAUCAUUGGACAGGCGUCAUGUUGCACAACUCGAACACGACGACAACAAUGGCGACAGAAAUUGCAAAAUCAAAGUGCGCGUUUCACAGAAUUCGCAGUUUAAAGAUGAAGUUUGGAUUAAGGGAGGAUGUUGGAAAUAAUAAUUCAAACUUAAUUAAAAUAUAAUUAGAGAUAAAUUUAAAUCUUUUAUUGGAUUAUGGUUAGGAUUUGUAAUUAUCCAAAGUAAAAAUAGAUUUAUCAUCUGUUAUGAUUUGAUGACUAUAUAUUUAGGCAUGGAUUAAUUAGAUGAAUAAGCCAUAAUAGAUAUGGCCGAGGGUGUCGUCCCGGAUGUAAUUAUGUGCUUUCUAUUAGUAAAGUAUUAGUUUAGUUAUCUUCUUCCUGCUCCAAUAUCUCUUCUCUAUAUUAUUUUGUUCUAUUUUAGAUCUUAGGUUAUAUAAUCGGUAUCAGCAUAAAUAUUGAUUCCAACAAUUAGUAUCAGAGAAAAUCACGCUUCCCAACAAAUUAACAUGGUGUAAUUUAACUAUUGCUCUACGAGCUGUAGUAUAUUUUACUUUAUAUACAUAAAAAUUUAUCACUGUAUUAAUUACUAAGUAUAGUAAAUUAUAUAUAAUCAAUAUUUAUAAUUAUUUUUUAAAAUAUUUAAAAAUAGCAAAGCACGAGUUUACUACCAACAAAAAAAAAAAACUAAAUAACAUCAUGCCAUUAAGAGGUUAUGCGUAUUCAUUAGCACGUAAGCAUGCCAUGUGUUAGCACGGAGACGUGCCUGUGCCAUGCCGUAUCAGGCGACCACCGACACGCCUCUUUGCCACGAUGAUUCCUUGAAAUUUAUUAUGAUGUCUCUGCGAGAAAUUUUUUGUAUAGAAAAUUAUUAGAAUUUGAUAAUUCGGUAAGAAAAUAAAUAUAGAAAAUAAGGAAUACAUUAAUUUAAAUGAAUUAAAUAGGUUGGUUUAGAAAGAAUAUAAGAAGGCUGACAAGGUAAGGGAAGUACAAAAGCGACUAGCAUGCAGUUGAAUUGUUUAAGAAAUAGAAAUAACUGCUUCUUUAAAUAAUUUAAAUAAAUUGAUAAAAUGAUAGAAGAAAUUGAUAAAAUGAUAGAAAAAAAUAGGAGGAUCGGAGAAGGGAGAGUUAAGGAGACAUGCCACAUCGUUCUUGGACCCAUCAUUUAAUGGGCUUUUUUAUAACAUAAGUCUGUAAAAUUUUAAAAUUAGGGAAAUAAUCUUAUCAAAAUUUUAUUUGAAAAAUUAACUCUUCUUUCGCCGCGUAGUCACCACGUCAGAUUUUUAUUAUAAAUGCGGUGAAUUAUUCACCACCUUCAGAUAUAUAUAAUGAAAGCGGUGAAUCAUUCACCGCUUUUAUAAUAGAUAUGUAAAAGCGGUGAAUGAUUCACCGCCUUUAGCGCAAAAUAUCCCAAAUUUAUUGAAAUUUGUCUAAAUCCUAAAGUUAAACACAGAUAAUACGGUGAAUAAUUUACUGUCUUCAUAUAUAUAUAUUAUGAAAGCGGUGAAUGAUUCACUAUUUUCAUUAUAUAUAUGUAAAGGCGGUGAAUGAUUCCUCGUCUUUAUAGCAAAAUCCAACGUGACGAAAGGAGGGUUAGUUUUUCAAAUAAAAUUUUAAUAGGAUUAUUUUGCCAAUUUAAAAUUUUUGGAGGCUCAUUUUAUAAAAAAGCCCUCAUUUAAUAAAGUAGAAUAGGAGACACCACCAGGGAGGUACUAAUAGAGAUCUAGUUGAAAUAAUUCACACUACAACAAAAUUAGAUUAUAACGACAUAUUUUUAAAACACUUUUGUGUAAGUAUUCUAUUUAUAUUAAAUUUUUAAAAAAAAAUCUAGUAAGACUUAAAUAUAAAACUCAAUCCAAUAAAAACCAAAAAAAAUUUCUACUCAACCAACCCCACCUAGCCCACUCGACCCGAUUACAAAUAGAAAAUAAAAACAUAAUAAAAAAAAAAGAUCACCAUCUCCCCUUCUCCUCCUUCGCCGUCACAGCCGACGACAUAGGAUUCCAACAAUUGCUCGGCCGCGAGGAUCUCGCAGGUACCGUAGAGGGCUACGAUAGUCACAUGUUCCUCCGCCACAUGUCGUUGGAGGAGUGGAUGUCAAACAUCAAGACGGCCCCACAUAUAGUGACCCCACAUAUAUCAACACUUUUAAAUUAAAAGUGUCGGUAAUUUAACCAGCAGUACUUUUUUAACCUGUACGUACCGACAUUUAAAAGUGUCGCUAUACACUGUUUUUAUUGUAAUGACAUGAUCUAUAUCUCUUAAAGUAUUUAGAAAUCAAAUUUCAAAUGUUUCAACAUUAUUGCCCUAAUGAUCAAAGAAUUUUAAAUUUUAUAAUUUUAAUGGUCGAUAUAAGAUAUUUCGUUUAACGGCAUAAAGAUAUCCAAAUCAAUUGAAUUUUGGAUAGAAAAUUCUUUAAACUAUUUAAAACAAAUCUAUAUUUUUUAUCGUAAUUACAAGACUCUUAUCAUCACUUUUUAAAGGAUAUCAAUUUUUAGCCGUACAUUUUUGUGUCCGCUCAAGAAAACAAUAUCAAAAAAAAUAUAAAAUUUGAUUACUAGAUACUUCAAGUGGUAUAAAUCAUAUUCAACGGUAUCGAUCGUUGAUUUGGAGGCUCCAUCAUCGAAAACAAAUGUAUGGCAACGGAGCCCAUUUGCUACUGAUAGUAUUUCAGCUCAACUCUCUCUCUCUCUCUCUCUCUCUCUCUCUCUCUCUCUCUCUCUCUCUCUCUCUCUCUAUAUAUAUAUAUAUAUAUAGAGUCCGGUUGCUAUACUACGGUAGCACGGAGGCUUUCAUGCUACCAAAUUGUUUUCAAUGAUGCGGCAUCCAAAUCGACGAUCUGCUCCGUUAGACUUGAUCUACAAUAUUGAAAAUAUUUGGAAACUAAAUUUCAGAAUUUUUCGACAUCAUUUGGCUAGUGAUCAAAAAGUCUCAAAAUUGAUAAUUUUAAUGGUAGAUGUGAUGCAUUUGUAAAUUUAACGGUGUAAAACAAUCCAAAUCAGAUGAAAUUUUUAUAGAAAUUUUUUUUUACUAUUUAGAGUAAGAUCAAUACCUCUGAUCUUAAAUUCAAGUCUUCUAUCAUCAUUGUUUAUGAGAUUUUUAUUUUCAGCCGUUCAUUUUUAGACUACUCGCUCGAUAGGUAAAUGAUACCGAAAAAUUAUGAAAUUUAGUUUCCAAAUACUUUCAAUAGUGUAGAUCAAAUCUAACGAAGCCGAUUGUCGAUUUGAAAGCGGCAUCAUUCAAAACAACUUGGUAGCACGGAAGCGUCCGUGCUACCGAUAGUAUAGCAGCCUAGCUCUCUCUCUCUCUCUCUCUCUCUCUAGCUCUCUCUCUCUCUCUAUAUAUAUAUAUACUAGUUGAAUAUACGUACAAAUGUACGUGACAAUUAAUUAUUUAAUAAUUAUUUUAAAUUAAUAUGAAAUUGUACAUCAUAUUUAUUAAAAAAUUUACAAUUUUUUAAAAAGUAAAUUUAUUUAUUAUAUACUAUUAGAAAAUACCUACCAUAUUUUGUCAACAAUAAUUAUAUA